UAGUGGGGAAGCAACUACAAAUCCAGGACAUUGUUUUUUUGCUUGGGUGCAUGGUUUGGUAACCACUAGCAACUCUUACUGAUUGUAGCUGUGGGGAUUCUAACUGCUUUUAUCUCCGGUGAUCUGUUGUGAUAUAUCUGCAGUCAGAAUCUCUUCGGUUACAUGAUUUUCUCAGGAUGAUAGUUGUCUUCCCCCUCAAUUUAUGCGCUGUGAAACGCGGAGUAGCAUGAAGACAGAAGUUUCUCUUUCUAUGUGUGGAUUGCCUUAUUAGUUGGUACUCCGCAAGUACUUGAGACUGCGCUAUUUAUGCACUAGGAUGAUAGCUUGGCAGCUUAUAUAACCAUGUUUUGUUUCCUUUCUCA
Molecule: long non-coding RNA, 362 nt
Organism: Lolium rigidum
Lineage: Eukaryota; Viridiplantae; Streptophyta; Magnoliopsida; Poales; Poaceae
Exons: 2
Source: RefSeq, a predicted model, not a curated record